Molecule: ribosomal RNA, 253 nt
Filed under: uncultured bacterium
Lineage: Bacteria
Description: partial 16S ribosomal RNA
Rfam family: Bacterial small subunit ribosomal RNA
Source: RNAcentral
UACGGAGGGUGCAAGCGUUGUCCGGAAUCAUUGGGCGUAAAGGGUGCGCAGGCGGAAGUCUAAGUCGGAGGUGAAAGUUUGCCGCUUAACGGUAAAAGCGCCUUCGAAACUGGAUUUCUUGAGUUCGGAAGAGGUCGGUGGAAUUCGUGGUGUAGCGGUGAAAUGCAUAGAUAUCACGAAGAACACCAGUGGCGAAGGCGGCCGACUGGUCCGAUACUGACGCUGAGGCACGAGAGCGUGGGGAGCGAACAGG